This 465-nucleotide ribosomal RNA is filed under the name Vreelandella stevensii. RNAcentral's name for it is "partial 16S ribosomal RNA". It matches the Rfam family "Bacterial small subunit ribosomal RNA", at positions 338 to 795 of the family's 1533-position model. The record is from RNAcentral. Lineage: Bacteria; Pseudomonadati; Pseudomonadota; Gammaproteobacteria; Oceanospirillales; Halomonadaceae.
CCUACGGGAGGCUGCAGUGGGGAAUAUUGGACAAUGGGGGCAACCCUGAUCCAGCCAUGCCGCGUGUGUGAAGAAGGCCCUCGGGUUGUAAAGCACUUUCAGUGAGGAAGAACGCCUGGUGGUUAAUACCCAUCAGGAAAGACAUCACUCACAGAAGAAGCACCGGCUAACUCCGUGCCAGCAGCCGCGGUAAUACGGAGGGUGCGAGCGUUAAUCGGAAUUACUGGGCGUAAAGCGCGCGUAGGUGGCUUGAUAAGCCGGUUGUGAAAGCCCCGGGCUCAACCUGGGAACGGCAUCCGGAACUGUCAAGCUAGAGUGCAGGAGAGGAAGGUAGAAUUCCCGGUGUAGCGGUGAAAUGCGUAGAGAUCGGGAGGAAUACCAGUGGCGAAGGCGGCCUUCUGGACUGACACUGACACUGAGGUGCGAAAGCGUGGGUACCAAACAGGAUUAGAUACCCGAGUAGUC